CUCCUCUUGGUGUAGUUGGUUUAUCACGUUCGACUGUAAAUCGAAAGGUCCCUAGUUCGAUUCUGGGAGGGGAGA
Molecule: transfer RNA, 75 nt
Filed under: Pyrenophora seminiperda CCB06
Lineage: Eukaryota; Fungi; Ascomycota; Dothideomycetes; Pleosporales; Pleosporaceae
Description: tRNA-Tyr (GTA) (tRNA-Tyr-GTA-2-1)
Rfam family: tRNA
About the family: Transfer RNA (tRNA) molecules are approximately 80 nucleotides in length. Their secondary structure includes four short double-helical elements and three loops (D, anti-codon, and T loops). Further hydrogen bonds mediate the characteristic L-shaped molecular structure. tRNAs have two regions of fundamental functional importance: the anti-codon, which is responsible for specific mRNA codon recognition, and the 3' end, to which the tRNAs corresponding amino acid is attached (by aminoacyl-tRNA synthetases). tRNAs cope with the degeneracy of the genetic code in two manners: having more than one tRNA (with a specific anti-codon) for a particular amino acid; and 'wobble' base-pairing, i.e. permitting non-standard base-pairing at the 3rd anti-codon position.
Source: RNAcentral